Molecule: ribosomal RNA, 611 nt
Filed under: uncultured Bacteroidales bacterium
Lineage: Bacteria; Pseudomonadati; Bacteroidota; Bacteroidia; Bacteroidales
Description: bacterial SSU rRNA
Rfam family: Bacterial small subunit ribosomal RNA
Source: RNAcentral
GCACGGGUGAGUAACACGUAUCCAACCUGCCGAUAACUCGGGGAUAGCCUUUCGAAAGAAAGAUUAAUACCCGAUGGUAUAAUCAGACCGCAUGGUCUUGUUAUUAAAGAAUUUCGGUUAUCGAUGGGGAUGCGUUCCAUUAGGCAGUUGGUGAGGUAACGGCUCACCAAACCUUCGAUGGAUAGGGGUUCUGAGAGGAAGGUCCCCCACAUUGGAACUGAGACACGGUCCAAACUCCUACGGGAGGCAGCAGUGAGGAAUAUUGGUCAAUGGGCGCAGGCCUGAACCAGCCAAGUAGCGUGAAGGAUGACUGCCCUAUGGGUUGUAAAACUUCUUUUAUAUGGGAAUAAAGUUUUCCACGUGUGGAAUUUUGUAUGUACCAUAUGAAUAAGGAUCGGCUAACUCCGUGCCAGCAGCCGCGGUAAUACGGAGGAUCCGAGCGUUAUCCGGAUUUAUUGGGUUUAAAGGGAGCGUAGGUGGACAGUUAAGUCAGUUGUGAAAGUUUGCGGCUCAACCGUAAAAUUGCAGUUGAUACUGUCUGUCCUGAGUACAGUAGAGGUGGGCGGAAUUCGUGGUGUAGCGGUGAAAUGCUUAGAUAUCACGAAGAACUC